Molecule: ribosomal RNA, 253 nt
Filed under: uncultured bacterium
Lineage: Bacteria
Description: partial 16S ribosomal RNA
Rfam family: Bacterial small subunit ribosomal RNA
Source: RNAcentral
UACGUAGGGUGCAAGCGUUGUCCGGAAUUACUGGGCGUAAAGGGCGCGUAGGCGGCCUUCUAAGUCGGACGUGAAAUCCCUCGGCUCAACCGGGGAACUGCGUCCGAUACUGGAGGGCUCGAAUCCGGGAGAGGGAUGUGGAAUUCCAGGUGUAGCGGUGAAAUGCGUAGAUAUCUGGAGGAACACCGGUGGCGAAGGCGGCAUCCUGGACCGGCAUUGACGCUGAGACGCGAAAGCGUGGGGAGCAAACAGG